AUUGAACGCUGGCGGCAGGCUUAACACAUGCAAGUCGAGCGGGGUGAUGGUGCUUGCACUAUCACUUAGCGGCGGACGGGUGAGUAAUGCUUAGGAAUCUGCCUAUUAGUGGGGGACAACAUCUCGAAAGGGAUGCUAAUACCGCAUACGUCCUACGGGAGAAAGCAGGGGAUCACUUGUGACCUUGCGCUAAUAGAUGAGCCUAAGUCGGAUUAGCUAGUUGGUGGGGUAAAGGCCUACCAAGGCGACGAUCUGUAGCGGGUCUGAGAGGAUGAUCGGCCACACUGGGAGUGAGACACGGCCCAGACUCCUACGGGAGGCAGCAGUGGGGAAUAUUGGACAAUGGGGGGAACCCUGAUCCAGCCAUGCCGCGUGUGUGAAGAAGGCCUUAUGGUUGUAAAGCACUUUAAGCGAGGAGGAGGCUCUUUUGGUUAAUACCCAAGAUGAGUGGACGUUACUCGCAGAAUAAGCACCGGCUAACUCUGUGCCAGCAGCCGCGGUAA
RNAcentral lists this ribosomal RNA (503 nucleotides) under uncultured bacterium. RNAcentral's name for it is "partial 16S ribosomal RNA". It matches the Rfam family "Bacterial small subunit ribosomal RNA", at positions 30 to 523 of the family's 1533-position model. The record is from RNAcentral.